CACGUAGGCACCAAGCGUUGUCCGGAUUUAUUGGGCGUAAAGAGCUCGUAGGCGGUUCAGUUAGUCGGGUGUGAAAACUCUGGGCUCAACCCAGAGACGCCACCCGAUACUGCUGUGACUAGAGUACGGUAGGGGAGUGGGGAAUUCCUGGUGUAGCGGUGAAAUGCGCAGAUAUCAGGAGGAACACCAGUGGCGAAGGCGCCACUCUGGGCCGUAACUGACGCUGAGGAGCGAAAGCAUGGGUAGCAAACAGG
RNAcentral lists this non-coding RNA (254 nucleotides) under uncultured bacterium. RNAcentral's name for it is "partial 16S ribosomal RNA". It matches the Rfam family "Bacterial small subunit ribosomal RNA", at positions 524 to 776 of the family's 1533-position model. The record is from RNAcentral. RNAcentral also lists the same sequence under 1 other name.